RNAcentral lists this ribosomal RNA (492 nucleotides) under uncultured bacterium. RNAcentral describes it as "partial 16S ribosomal RNA". It matches the Rfam family "Bacterial small subunit ribosomal RNA", at positions 29 to 507 of the family's 1533-position model. The record is from RNAcentral.
AGUGAACGCUGGCGGUAGGCCUAACACAUGCAAGUCGAACGGCAGCACAGUAAGAGCUUGCUCUUACGGGUGGCGAGUGGCGGACGGGUGAGGAAUACAUCGGAAUCUACUUUUUCGUGGGGGAUAACGUAGGGAAACUUACGCUAAUACCGCAUACGACCUACGGGUGAAAGCAGGGGAUCUUCGGACCUUGCGCGAUUGAAUGAGCCGAUGUCGGAUUAGCUAGUUGGCGGGGUAAAGGCCCACCAAGGCGACGAUCCGUAGCUGGUCUGAGAGGAGGGUCAGCCACACUGGAACUGAGACACGGUCCAGACUCCUACGGGAGGCAGCAGUGGGGAAUAUUGGACAAUGGGCGCAAGCCUGGUCCAGCCAUACCGCGUGGGUGAAGAAGGCCUUCGGGUUGUAAAGCCCUUUUGUUGGGAAAGAAAAGCAGCAGGUUAAUACCCCGCUGUUCUGACGGUACCCAAAGAAUAAGCACCGGCUAACUUCGUG